GGAAAUUACUCUAGAUGGGCUGGGCAGGAUGAAGUCUUGGCCAGAGAGUGAGGAUUUAGGAUAAUGUGGCCCAGCCUCUCCUACCUGCAUGGAAGGAGAAGUGGGAGAAGCGGGGGCUCAGAGGGAGGAGAGUGACCUGCCCAAAGUGCUACAGGUUCCAGGAAGUGCCGGAACCCGGAUUGAUCCCUCCCACGGUGGGAUUCCUGUGUAGGUGUGGGCUGGCUUAGACACCCACCCUCUGCAGUCCGCUCUAGUUCUCACUUCGGGUAUUUACUGUCUGGAUGACCUUAAUCACGCCACCUAUCCCUGAUGGACCUCAUUUUCUUUAUAAAAGGAAGGGUUGAUUAAA
Antechinus flavipes (yellow-footed antechinus) is the source of this 349-nucleotide long non-coding RNA. RefSeq lists it as uncharacterized. The transcript has 2 exons. The record is from RefSeq and is a predicted model, not a curated record. NCBI's taxonomy places the organism in Eukaryota, Metazoa, Chordata, Mammalia, Dasyuromorphia, Dasyuridae.